Molecule: transfer-messenger RNA, 348 nt
Filed under: Oscillospiraceae bacterium
Lineage: Bacteria; Bacillati; Bacillota; Clostridia; Eubacteriales; Oscillospiraceae
Also listed under: 1 other name
Rfam family: transfer-messenger RNA
About the family: Bacterial tmRNA, also known as 10Sa RNA or SsrA, is named for its dual tRNA and mRNA-like properties. Its role is to liberate the mRNA from a stalled ribosome. To accomplish this part of the tmRNA is used as a reading frame that ends in a translation stop signal.
Source: RNAcentral
GGGAACGUAAUGGUUUCGACGGGGAUUUUGAACUGCGGUAAGCGAGCAGCGGUGAGGCGCCGCUAUAAAAGCUUCAACUUAUAAAUUAAACAACAAUAAUACUGUUGCUUACGCUGCCUAAUUAGGCGCGUCGUCCGACCUCAGAGUACCGCGGCUUUGGAAGGGCGUCAUUUAGCGGUGAACGUGAACGGGGGAGCGGCUUGGCUCCCGUCACGCAUUAAAGCCUACCGAAGCGUGCAGCCUGUCCGAAGGCGUCACGUCGGGGGAAUCCUAAAAUUCGGAAUACGCUCGUAGAAAGCUGCUCGGAUGAAUUUUCGGACGCGGGUUCGACUCCCGCCGUUUCCACCA